UAUUUACAGUCUUGCAUUCCCAUCUUGCACAGAAAUCUACCAUUCACGUGCUUCAAUUAAAAAAUAAUCUGCAGUGGAUACUCCCAUCCUAUCCCAGCUCAAUAUACCUGGUAUCACAUGCAUUCCCUUUCUCAGAUCGCUUUAGUUUUCACUUACAGAGUCUAGCAUUAUCUGAGUGCUGAUGCUGAGUGGGACUCUGGUGGACAGAGAGCUCCCUAACUGCACUGUAUGGCCUUCAGCUUAAACAGCAAGUACAUUGAUAGGGUAAGUUUUCUUCUUGGAACAGCAACGCCCAUCUCCUGCACAAAAUCAGCCAGCAGACUCUUGUUUGUGAUAUGCUUGAAGCUACAGAGGGGUUUCCUGAACUGCUCUAUCAGCUGGGGAUGUAAAUGUGAGCCUAUGUACUGAUAGGGCACGUGUCCAGUUUAGAAGCACAGUGUAUAACUGCUCUGCAGGCAGCUAAAACACGAAGUAAUGACUCUUACAGGUUCUGUUCCAUGAGGAUCCUCUUGACUGAACAAGGUUGGACACUGGUUUCUGCACCUGAGAUCAACCAAGUGACCCAUUCUACUUUGGACUUUACACAUCCAUGAGCUGCUGAGCUUGAUGGAGAAGGGGAAACCAUUUACUUGUGAUAUUUUUCUAUACAGCAAAACCUGGCCCAGAAGCACUGUAAAACUCAACAGGUCCCAAUCUGCCACCAGUAAGACUGAUCUGACAUCAGUAAGACUGCAAGCACUGGAAACCACAUCCUAACAAAGGGAAAAGAACUCUUCACAGCUGUUCAUGCACAAGAGACACUGAAAGGAUGCAACACCAGAAAAGGCAGCAGAAGUUUGAAAUGUGAAGAGGCAGAGAGCUGUGCGAGCCAUUGCUGCAGUGACUUGAACAUCAUUCACCCGGCAUCGCUCCAGUUCUUGUGAGCUCAUGCAGUGUGGAAACACAGGUGUCAGCCCCUCAGGAGCAGAAUUGAAGGUUUGAAGGAUGGUCAUCAAUUUGAGAGCAGCCCACCUUUAAGUGAUCCUAUUCUUUAGCAGUUAAUCUUAUUUCUUCGCAGCCAGAACUGAUCUACAACAGCAAUUGUAAAGGCGCAGUGCAAGCUCAAGCAAUGGCAGCAUACAGGCCAUAGCAAUCUCCUAAGAGGGAAGAAUUCUUACAAUACAGUAAGGUGGCAAACUCUGAACUGUCUUUUGCACAGCAUGAGUGCACAACACUACCAAAAUGACCAGAGCAGGGACCAGGGCUGCUGGGAACAACUGCUGUCAUGAGUCUCCAGCAACAGAGCCACGCAUACUCUUACAAGCAGCACGACAUCAGGGAGCUGAUGGCUCAAGAAAACUCCCUAAUUCUCCCUGAUUUAUUUCAUACUACCUUCUUCUUCCUUUCCUUUUCCAUGCAGCAUCCACAAGUGCUCACAGAGUGAUUUAGAUUGGACGGGUCCUUAAAGAUCAUCUUGUUCCAACCUCCCUGUUACAGACAGGGCUGCUCCCCACCAGCUCAGGCUGCCCAGUAUCCCAGCCAGCCUGGCUUUCAGCACCUCCAGGGAUGGGGCACCUCAGCCUCUCUGGGCAGUGCUGCCAGGGCCUCACUUCCCUCCGAGUAAAGGAUUUCUUCCUAACACCUAACCUAAAUCUCCCCUCUUUUAGCUUAAAGCUAUUCCCCCUCAAGAUCACAGACUCAACCAGGGCAUGUUUGCUGCAGCCCAGGCUGCCUCUGAUUUUAAGGUCUUCAAUAAUCUCCUCCACAUUAGUGGAGCACCAGCUCCAGCAGUUCUUCACCUCUCGUGGGUCUGUCCAGUACCUGAACCAGAAAGUUAUUGUCAGUGGAGUCUCCUUCAUUGCUUGCAGGCUGCUACGUUGUUUUUCCAGCAGAUGCCCAAGUGGUUCAACUCUCCCAACAGGAUGAAAGCCUGCAAGCAUGAAACCUCUUGCAGCUGAAGCAAGAAGACCUCAUUAGCAGGUUUCCCUUGAUCAGAGGAGCUGUCCUUCAUUGCUCCAGUCCAAUAACCAAGACCCUUCACCUUUUUUUUUAGCAGCACUGCUUGUGACUGGUUCUCAGUUGCACCUUCUUAACAUGGUUGCCCCUUUUUGUUUUUGAAACCACUACCCAUACCUUCUCCUCCCAGCUCCACAGCUUUGUAUUUGCUGGCUACGAGGACUGCAGGGACAAAUGGGAGAGGCUUUCUCCAUCUGCUCCAAGCAGAGACAAGCUUCCAGUCCCCCUCAUCCUGUAUGUUUGCUGUCAGGUUGGAAGCCUUAUCUAUUUCCCCUUGCCAGGACUUAGUGCUGUUGGCCUGCCUGUGCCACUGUGUAAUACCAAGCAUCACUCUGACUGCUGGGUUCAUCUCAGCCUUGGUGACUUCCUCUUGCAUCCUGCUCAGCUGCUCAUCUUGUUCAGAGCUCCUUGCAGGAGCCUCAAGCUGGAUCUCUGUGCCUACGUGCCUCCUGGAGCCACAAGUGAGCUAGCUGUAGACAUGCUGUCCUCUUGCUUUGCUGCUCUGCGCAUUGCCCACAGAAUAUGGUAUUUCAGUAGACCUGCU
Molecule: long non-coding RNA, 2539 nt
Organism: Lagopus muta (rock ptarmigan)
Lineage: Eukaryota; Metazoa; Chordata; Aves; Galliformes; Phasianidae
Exons: 3
Source: RefSeq, a predicted model, not a curated record